UACCAGCUCUCCGAGUGGUAGGGAUGAUUAUUGGGCUUAAAGCGUCCGUAGCCGGCUUAGCAAGUCUCCUGUUAAAUUCAGCGACCUAAUCGUUGAGCCGCGGGAGAUACUACUAGGCUAGGAGGCGGGAGAGGUCAACGGUACUUCCGGGGUAGGGGUGAAAUCCUAUAAUCCCGGGAGGACCACCAGUGGCGAAGGCUGUUGACUAGAACGCGCUCGACGGAGAGGGACGAAAGCUGGGGGAGCGAACCGGAUUAGAUACCCGGGUAGUCCCAGCUGUAAACGAUGCGAGCUAGGUGUUGGGGUGGCUACGUGCCACUUCAGUGCCGCAGGGAAGCCAUUAAGCUCGCCGCCUGGGGAGUACGGCCGCAAGGCUGAAACUUAAAGGAAUUGGCGGGGGAGCGCCACAAGGCGUGAAGCUUGCGGUUC
This 429-nucleotide ribosomal RNA is filed under the name uncultured archaeon. RNAcentral describes it as "bacterial SSU rRNA". It matches the Rfam family "Archaeal small subunit ribosomal RNA", at positions 474 to 903 of the family's 1478-position model. The record is from RNAcentral.